This 96-nucleotide transfer RNA is filed under the name Nocardia wallacei. Its description in RNAcentral is "tRNA-Ala". Lineage: Bacteria; Bacillati; Actinomycetota; Actinomycetes; Mycobacteriales; Nocardiaceae. The record is from RNAcentral.
GGAGCGCACCGGCGCGGGCAACGCCGAUCGUUCGCGGUGGUCGAUGGCGGUGCUCGCCGCCGCGCCGCCGCCGUCCGGGUUCGGCGCGCACUACGC